This 69-nucleotide transfer RNA is filed under the name Regalecus glesne (king of herrings). Its description in RNAcentral is "tRNA-Pro". It matches the Rfam family "tRNA". Rfam says of the family: Transfer RNA (tRNA) molecules are approximately 80 nucleotides in length. Their secondary structure includes four short double-helical elements and three loops (D, anti-codon, and T loops). Lineage: Eukaryota; Metazoa; Chordata; Actinopteri; Lampriformes; Regalecidae. The record is from RNAcentral.
CCAGAGGGUAGUUAAAUAAGAAUACUAGCUUUGGGAGUUAGUGGUGGGAGUUGAAGUCUCUCCCUUCUG